GGCCGAAAGGCGUAGUCGAUGGGUAGCAGGUCAACAUUCCUGCGCCUCCAUGGAGAUCAAACCGGAGUGCGAAUCUGUGAGCUCUACAGAAGCAUCAGCAUGCUGAGGCCCUUGAGGCCGUCGUAGAGGGAUCGGGUUCCGAGAAAAGCUCCGGGGGCAAUAUGGAGUCCGUACCAAAACCGACACAGGUAGGUGUGGUGAAUAACCUAAGGCGCUCGAGAGAACCGUCGUGAAGGAAUUAGGCAAAUUGACCCCGUACGUUCGCAAUAAGGGGGCCCUCCUCGCAAGAGAGGGCGCAGAGAAAAGGCUCUGGCGACUGUUUAUCAAAAACACAGCACUGUGCGAACUCGUAAGAGGAUGUAUACAGUGUGACGCUUGCCCAAUGCCGGAAUGUCACGGAAGCGGGUUAUCUUCGGAGAAGCUCGUGACCUAAGCACCGGUCAAUGGCGGCCGUAACUAUGACGGU
This 466-nucleotide ribosomal RNA is filed under the name Symbiodinium sp. clade D. RNAcentral describes it as "partial Bacterial large subunit ribosomal RNA". It matches the Rfam family "Bacterial large subunit ribosomal RNA", at positions 1400 to 1949 of the family's 2925-position model. Lineage: Eukaryota; Dinophyceae; Suessiales; Symbiodiniaceae. The record is from RNAcentral.